CCAAUCGAACUCGGAGAUAGCUGGUUCUCCCCGAAAUAGCUUUAGGGCUAGCCUCAUAUUAGAUACCCGGAGGUAAAGCACUGAAUGGCCUAGCGCCCGAGAGGGUAGCGAAGCCUAUCAAACUAAGAAUGCCGGAGUAUUGAUGUAUGGGAGUCAGACAGUGUGAGAUAAAUCUCAUUGUCAAAAGGGAAACAGCCCAGAUCUACAGCUAAGGUCCCAAAUUGUAUCUAAGUGGAAAACGAUGUGGAAAUACGCAGACAACCAGGAUGUUGGCUCAGAAGCAGCCACUCAUUUAAAGAGUGCGUAAUAGCUCACUGGUCGAGCGUCUCUGCGCGGAAAAUUUAACGGGGCUAAGAUACAAACCGAAGCUUAGGCUGCACGUAAGUGCGGGGUAGGGGAGCGUUGUGUAAGCGGAGAAACAGUAGCGUAAGCGGCUGUGGAGUUUACAGAAGUGAGAAUGCCGGAAUGAGUAGCGCGAAUGUGGUGAGAAUCCACAUGGCCGGAAACCUCAGGUUUUUGGAGGAAGGUUCGUCCGCUCCAAGUUAGGCGGGAGCUAAGGUGAGGCCGCAAGGCGUAGCCGAUGCACAGACGGUAGAGAUUCCGUCCCCACCGAAAGAUUUAAGCACAGGGACACUUUUAGAAGGUCAGAGCCGGGUGUUGGUUCCGGUAGUGAUCGAGGGAAAUUUAGUACCGAAGUCUGGCUGGAAGAGAGGCGAGAAAAGCUGUGUGUAUAUCUUAGGUGCCCGUACCGCAAACCGACACAGGUAGGUAGGAAGAAGAUUCUAAGGCCAACGGGAGAAGGGUUGUUAAGGAACUCGGCAAAUUGACCCCGUAACUUCGGGAGAAGGGGUGCUCCAGAGAUGGAGCCGCAGAGAAUCGGCCCAAGCAACUGUUUACCAAAAACACAGGUUUGUGCUAAAUCGAAAGAUGACGUAUACGAGCUGACGCCUGCCCGGUGCUGGAAGGUUAAAAGGAGAUGUGCAAGCAUUGAAUUGAAGCCCCAGUGAACGGCGGCCGUAACUAUAACGGUCCUAAGGUAGCGAAAUUCCUUGUCAGGUAAGUUCUGACCCGCAUGAAAGGCGUAAUGAUUUGGGCACUGUCUCAACAGCCCGCCCGGCGAAAUUGUAGUACCGGUGAAGAUGCCGGUUACCCGCGACAAGACGGAAAGACCCCAUGGAGCUUUACUGUAGCCUGAUAUUGGGUUUCGGUGUUGCAUGCACAGGAUAGAUGGGACACAGGGAAGCGAGCGCUUUGGCGUUCGUGGAGUGGACGUUGGGAUACCAUCCUUGCGACAUUGGAAUUCUAACCUGCGCCUUUGAAUCAAGGCGGGGGACAUUGUCAGGUGGGCAGUUUGACUGGGGCGGUCGCCUCCUAAAAAGUAGCGGAGGCGUUCAAAGGUUCGUUCGAUCUGGACGGAAACCAGAUGAAUGAGUGCAAACGCAUAAACGAGCCUGACUGCGAGACUGACGGGUCGAGCAGAGACGAAAGUCGGAGUUAGUGAUCCGGUGGUAUGUGAGUGGAAAUGCCAUCGCUCAACGGAUAAAA
RNAcentral lists this ribosomal RNA (1545 nucleotides) under human gut metagenome. RNAcentral describes it as "bacterial LSU rRNA". It matches the Rfam family "Bacterial large subunit ribosomal RNA", at positions 829 to 2461 of the family's 2925-position model. The record is from RNAcentral.